AGGACGAACGCUGGCGGCGUGCCUAACACAUGCAAGUCGAACGGGUGAUCCUUCGGGGAUCACUUAGUGGGCGAACGGGUGAGUAACGCGUGAGGAACCUGCCUUCCAGUGGGGGACAACAGUUGGAAACGACUGCUAAUACCGCAUAACAUACACUGACCGCAUGAUCGGUGUAUCAAAGCUUUAUGUGCUGGAAGAUGGCCUCGCGUCUGAUUAGCUAGUUGGAGGGGUAACGGGCCCACCAAGGCGACGAUCAGUAGCCGGUCUGAGAGGAUGAACGGCCGCAUUGGGACUGAGAUACGGCCCAGACUCCUACGGGAGGCAGCAGUGGGGAAUAUUGGGCAAUGGGGGAAACCCUGACCCAGCAACGCCGCGUGAAGGAAGAAGGCCUUCGGGUUGUAAACUUCUUUUAGCAGGGACGAAGGACGUGACGGUACCUGCAGAAAAAGCGACGGCUAACUACGUG
This 466-nucleotide ribosomal RNA is filed under the name uncultured bacterium. RNAcentral's name for it is "bacterial SSU rRNA". It matches the Rfam family "Bacterial small subunit ribosomal RNA", at positions 26 to 507 of the family's 1533-position model. The record is from RNAcentral.